Molecule: long non-coding RNA, 260 nt
Filed under: Carica papaya (papaya)
Lineage: Eukaryota; Viridiplantae; Streptophyta; Magnoliopsida; Brassicales; Caricaceae
Description: long non-coding RNA (CPAP_LNC004319)
Source: RNAcentral
UGAAAAUGGCAUGUUAGCACAAAAGAUCAAAUAUACAUCAUGUCAGAUAAUAGAGAAAAUCAAAUAAAUCAUAAAAUGCACAGAUUUUUGUGUCAUCGCGAAGUCGUUACAAACUUUCAUCUCUGAGUGUGGAUACAUAUCUCCAACUACCCAAGUGGAAUGACCAGAUCAGAUACAGAUACAAUAAUUUGCUCAAGCCCACUUCCGAUUGGCCAAACCAUGGUAUGAUCUAUAACCACAGCCGCACCAACCAUAAUGGU